UAUUAAGGUAUAUUCUAUUUUUUUGAGUAAACCUAUUUUCUAUUUUUGAAUAAGCUUAUAUUACUUUAAAUUGUUGAACCCCUAUUUAAAGUGUACCUUUAAACUAUGUUUCUAUUAAGAUCACCUCUCUGGUAUAUGCUACUGGUGAAACAAAGAGAUGGAAACAAAAGGACCCCUAUUCUAUAGGCCUUGUUUAUGUCUUAAACCCAGACCACUUCCUUUAUUCGUAGAGUACAUAAAUCAUGAAUGACCAGUGGAUACACUUACUGGUACCCCUUUGUCUUGGGGAUAGGGAAUAGUGGGGUUGUUUGCCUGGUUUGGAAGAAAGAUUGGCUUUCUCGUUGAGAGCAAGUUUAGACUUCAAGGCAGAUAGACGUGUGAUGUAACUUCCCCCAGAAGUUACUAUGUCGCAGCUUUUUAAGACCUGCCUUGAUUUUGUUUCUUAACAGAGUUCCACCAUGGUUCCACCAUGGUUCCAGUUCCAUUUCCCUCGGGACAAGAGUUGGGACUGCUGUCGUUGUUCAGGCAACGCUCUCCGCCUGAUCGAUGUAUUUAGUGCUUAUUGACGAACGACUCGUGGUUUAUCAUUUGCGCUUUAUAUGAACAUCUAUUCUUUUCUUCUAUUCUUUGAUGUUUUUUCUAAUGUACGGUGUAGUUUACUUUGCUCCUUUUCUAUCAUUUAUUGUAUACCUGUACAACAUAUUGUAAAGCUUUGCAUGUAGCUGUUUUUGUAAGAAUUGUUUGUUUGAAAUCGAAAUGCCAGUUGUCACACUGGGAAUUUAUUAUCGGUGUACCUUUGACACUGAAUAUUAAUAAAUACCUCUUUGGAAUUAUCAUUGGCACAAAA
RNAcentral lists this long non-coding RNA (847 nucleotides) under Strongylocentrotus purpuratus (purple sea urchin). RNAcentral's name for it is "uncharacterized LOC115929682". The record is from RNAcentral. Lineage: Eukaryota; Metazoa; Echinodermata; Echinoidea; Camarodonta; Strongylocentrotidae.